This 577-nucleotide ribosomal RNA is filed under the name uncultured bacterium. RNAcentral describes it as "bacterial SSU rRNA". It matches the Rfam family "Bacterial small subunit ribosomal RNA", at positions 324 to 917 of the family's 1533-position model. The record is from RNAcentral.
GCGGGAAUUCGAUUCCUACGGGAGGCAGCAGUUAGGAAUUUUGGGCAAUGGGGGCAACCCUGACCCAGCAACGCCGCGUGGGUGACGAAGGCCUUCGGGUCGUAAAGCCCUUUUCCGGGGGACGAUGGUGACGGUACCCCGGGAAUCAGCCCCGGCUAACUACGUGCCAGCAGCCGCGGUAAUACGUAGGGGGCGAGCGUUGUCCGGAUUCAUUGGGCGUAAAGCGCUCGCAGGCGGUUCGCCGCGUCGCGCGUGAAGGCCCCCGGCUCAACCGGGGGUGGUCGCGGGAUACGGGCGGACUGGAGGUAGGUAGGGGGACGCGGAAUUCCCGGUGUAGUGGUGGAAUGCGUAGAGAUCGGGAGGAACACCGGCGGCGAAGGCGGCGUCCUGGACCUGGCCUGACGCUCAGGAGCGAAAGCGUGGGGAGCGAUCCGGAUUAGAUACCCGGGUAGUCCACGCCGUAAACGAUGCGGACUAGGUGUCGGGGGUAUCGACCCCCCCGGUGCCGCAGCCAACGCGAUAAGUCCGCCGCCUGGGGAGUACGGCCGCAAGGCUAAAACUCAAAUGAAUUGACGGA